GAUGAACGCUGGCGGCGUGCCUAAUACAUGCAAGUCGAGCGAACAGACGAGCUUUCUGUUCCGCAUUCGUUAGCCGCGGACGGGUGACGAACACGUGGAUAACCUAUCUAUAAGCCUGGGAUAACUUCGGGAAACCGGAGCUAAUACCGGAUUAUCUAUUGGACCGCAUGGUUCAGUAGUUGAAGGCGGUUUUUCUGUUACUUAUAGGUGGUUCCGCCCCGCCUUAUCAGGUUGGUAGUGGAAUGGUUUACGAAGGCGACGAUGAGUAGCCGACCUGCGGGGGUGAUCGGCCACACUGGAACUGGGACACGGUCCCGCCUCCUACGGGAGCCAGCAGUAGGGAAUCUGCCGCAUUGGGCCAGAGCCUGACGGAGCAGCACCGAGUGAGUGGGGAAGGUCUUCGGAUCGUAGUACUCUGUUAUUAGGGAAGAACAAAUGUGUAAGUAGCUGUGCACGUCUUGACGGUACCGAAUCAGAAAGCCACGGCUAACUACGUG
Molecule: ribosomal RNA, 497 nt
Filed under: uncultured bacterium
Lineage: Bacteria
Description: partial 16S ribosomal RNA
Rfam family: Bacterial small subunit ribosomal RNA
Source: RNAcentral